AGCGAACGCUGGCGGCAGGCUUAACACAUGCAAGUCGAGCGGGCGUAGCAAUACGUCGGCGGCAGACGGGUGAGUAACGCGUGGGAACAUACCUUUUUGGUUCGGAACAACACAGGGAAACUUGUGCUAAUACCGGAUAAGCCCUUACGGGGAAAGAUUUAUCGCCGAAAGAUUGGCCCGCGUCUGAUUAGCUAGUUGGUGAGGUAACGGCUCACCAAGGCGACGAUCAGUAGCUGGUCNGAGAGGAUGAUCAGCCACAUUGGGACUGAGACACGGCCCAAACUCC
RNAcentral lists this ribosomal RNA (286 nucleotides) under uncultured bacterium. Its description in RNAcentral is "partial 16S ribosomal RNA". It matches the Rfam family "Bacterial small subunit ribosomal RNA", at positions 29 to 339 of the family's 1533-position model. The record is from RNAcentral.